Molecule: long non-coding RNA, 360 nt
Organism: Helianthus annuus (common sunflower)
Lineage: Eukaryota; Viridiplantae; Streptophyta; Magnoliopsida; Asterales; Asteraceae
Exons: 3
Source: RefSeq, a predicted model, not a curated record
UGCCUAAUAUGAUCACAAGUUGUAUUGAGAUGAACUACUCCUGACUAUCUUUAUUUUGUCUAUAGAAUGGUGUCAUUCUAAGGCGAUUACCAGAGCCAUAGAUGGUUCUAUUGCUGUUGACAAAAAGUGUGUGGAGCUGGAGCUGCUGAUACAGAAGUCGUGACAAGUACUAAUCUGGUCACAUAAUCAUCUAGACAAAGGGAAACUUCUUAGCCAGUCUUCGACAAUUCUUGAACCGACUUUUCAAAUGGAUCAGCUGCAUGACCCUGCAGAUUUUUUGCAGCCUAUGAGAAGUUCGAAAACACACGUAAAGAAUUGAAGAAACAGAGAGGUGAAGACCCAAAUGAGCGCCAAAUUCCC